GACGAACGCUGGCGGCGUGCCUAAUACAUGCAAGUAGAACGCUGAAGCGAGGAGCUUGCUCUUCUUGGAUGAGUUGCGAACGGGUGAGUAACGCGUAGGUAACCUGCCUUGUAGCGGGGGAUAACUAUUGGAAACGAUAGCUAAUACCGCAUAACAAUGGAUGACACAUGUCAUUUAUUUGAAAGGGGCAAUUGCUCCACUACAAGAUGGACCUGCGUUGUAUUAGCUAGUAGGUGAGGAAUGGCUCACCUAGGCGACGAUACAUAGCCGACCUGAGAGGGUGAUCGGCCAAACUGGGACUGGGACACGGCCCAGACUCCUACGGGAGGCAGCAGUAGGGAAUCUUCGGCAAUGGGGGCAACCCUGACCGAGCAACGCCGCGUGAGUGAAGAAGGUUGUCGGAUCGUAAAGCUCUGUUGUAAGUCAAGAACGGGUGUGAGAGUGGAAAGUUCACACUGUGACGGUAGCUUACCAGAAAGGGACGGCUAACUACGUG
This 496-nucleotide ribosomal RNA is filed under the name uncultured bacterium. RNAcentral describes it as "partial 16S ribosomal RNA". It matches the Rfam family "Bacterial small subunit ribosomal RNA", at positions 28 to 507 of the family's 1533-position model. The record is from RNAcentral.